CUCCUUGGAGUGGGGAUUUAGUCCCUGACAGAUCACAUCUACAUACAUAUACACACAUAUAUAUAACUGUAGGAAUCAAGUCUUGGGCUUUGUUUUCAGUACUGGCACCUUCAGUGCACCAUCAGCACUUGAUUCUGCUGUUUUUCUCUCUGCAAUAGAGUCCCCUUUGAUGUUUCCUUUUGGAGAAGAACAGUGGUGGGCUGCAGGUAAGUUGACUGCUGUGAGAUGCACAAGGAAACUCCUCUACACAACUUUUCUUGCUGGCAGGCAGUGUGGACGUGAGGCCAUGGAUGUGUUUUCAGCUGUCCCAGGACCUCCUGAUUUUAUCAAGUGGCAGCACUGAGUGCCCAAAGAAAAGUCUGAUUUCAUAUUCACAAGACAACAAAACGCUUUGUCAAGGGAUUGUCCUCUGUUAAUCAGGGCUUACUUCAGAUUCCUAACUUCUGAGGAGGCCAAGACAAAGCUAUGUCCUUUGGUGCAUCUUCAUAGGGUUCCCCUGGAGAAUGUCUGAGGCAAGUUUCAAAGACAGGCAUUUCUGCUCUGUCAGGUUUGCAGCUGGGUGAAGUUGGGUAACUUGUUUUCUUGGUUCAUUCCAGUGAGUGAUGCAAACACAGGAGACAACUGCAGCUGCACCAGUGCUCACCGCCGUGUUCCACAUCCAGCACACAAGCAGCGUUCCAGUUCACAGAGGGCACCGGUUCCUCCUGGCAUGCCUGAGCUGCAGAACUGCUGGAAAGAGCCACAGCCUGGAGUGCAAUGAAGGAAGAAGAGAGCUUUUUUGGCAAUGUGAAUUCAGCUGCCUCGAGAGCAACACCCUCCUGGGCAGCAGGACCCUGCACUGCAGCUCAUGGCCCUUGGAAAUGCCGCCCAGCCCCGUGCUGCCCAAGCAAGAAGCGAGAGCGGUGUCCUCUCAGAAAGCCAGGGCUUCCAGGGACUCCUCCUGCGUCCUGCCACGCAACCUGAAAGCGAGACAAGCUUAUGCAACAGACAAGAGGAGCUACCUGCAUAUAAAAGUCAGCUGGUCUUUGAAUCAGGCACUGAAGGGAAGCUUUGGAUAAAUGAGUUUGAGCUGAGAAAUAAACAGAGUGUGCAUAAGGAUGAUCUGCCCCUU
This 1111-nucleotide long non-coding RNA is filed under the name Anas platyrhynchos platyrhynchos (common mallard). RNAcentral's name for it is "lncRNA (ENSAPLG00000028060.1)". Lineage: Eukaryota; Metazoa; Chordata; Aves; Anseriformes; Anatidae. The record is from RNAcentral.